Molecule: long non-coding RNA, 252 nt
Filed under: Elaeis guineensis (African oil palm)
Lineage: Eukaryota; Viridiplantae; Streptophyta; Magnoliopsida; Arecales; Arecaceae
Description: long non-coding RNA (EGUI_LNC069416)
Source: RNAcentral
CCGCAGGAUAAUGCCUCGAGUAGGUCUCAAGUCAGAAAGAGUACAGCAUACGACGGAGAUGGGAUCGAGCGGCCUGGCUCGACUUCCAUAUUUGCCCAUCCAUGAUCAGCAGAUAAUUACCCUAGGACAUGGAGGCGAGGAGAUCUAGAAGCUCUCGGAGUUAGGAAGAGGUCGAAUAUCGAGUUGAGGUGAAGAUUGUUAGGAUUUGAUGCCUUGAGAUUUUAUCCAUAUUGAGCCCACAGAGAGGUUCGC